GUCUUGGAGUGUUUGUAAGACACUUUCUUGCUUUGAGGACAGCUUCUUGUAAAUAUCUUUUAAUUUUUAAUUAAAUUUGUAAUGUUUAACUUAAGCCUUUGUGUUUUGUGAUGUUUGUAAGACAGCUAUCUAAGAAUAUCUGACUUUUAAAGAAUAUUAACUAACACGUGUGAAAUGUAUUGUUUUUUUUCUUAAUAUGUGACAUUGCCUGUGUGACUGAAAGGUAGUUUUUUAGGUAUUGUUACUUCUAUUUUUCUUAAUAUCACAGGUAACUAUUUAAAUGACUUACAUAUUUUUUCUCAAGCUCUAGCUCAACAUGCAGGACAAAGGUAUAGCCUGUGGCUGAGGGAUCAGAGGUGAGGUGCUUUACACUUGUCCUCUCCCAGCAUUCAGCACUUCAGACACUCAACGUCCAAGACGGAGCUAACAAAGAGAGAUACUCCACCCAGAAGACAGCCUUACCCCAGCCCGAUGAGAAGGAUGGAUGACCAAAUGACAAACUGGAG
Molecule: long non-coding RNA, 506 nt
Filed under: Oreochromis niloticus (Nile tilapia)
Lineage: Eukaryota; Metazoa; Chordata; Actinopteri; Cichliformes; Cichlidae
Description: lncRNA (ENSONIG00000022663.2)
Source: RNAcentral